UACGUAGGGGGCUAGCGUUGUCCGGAAUCAUUGGGCGUAAAGCGCGUGUAGGCGGUCCGGUAAGUCCGCUGUGAAAGUCGGGGGCUCAACCCUCGGAUGCCGGUGGAUACUGUCGGGCUUGAGUACGGAAGAGGCGAGUGGAAUUCCUGGUGUAGCGGUGAAAUGCGCAGAUAUCAGGAGGAACACCAAUUGCGAAGGCAGCUCGCUGGGACGUUACUGACGCUGAGAAGCGAAAGCGUGGGGAGCAAACAGG
RNAcentral lists this ribosomal RNA (253 nucleotides) under uncultured bacterium. RNAcentral describes it as "partial 16S ribosomal RNA". It matches the Rfam family "Bacterial small subunit ribosomal RNA", at positions 524 to 776 of the family's 1533-position model. The record is from RNAcentral.